Astatotilapia calliptera (eastern happy) is the source of this 2710-nucleotide long non-coding RNA. The record is from Ensembl. NCBI's taxonomy places the organism in Eukaryota, Metazoa, Chordata, Actinopteri, Cichliformes, Cichlidae.
GGCCAAAUUACUGUGUAAAACAAAAAGUUGUAGAUUUGUUUUUGCUGCACUGCCCAAAGACCGAGUAGAAUUAUUUGACUGUUAGUUGCUUUCCCUUCCUUUCAUAAACACGUUAUAUUUUUAUUUCAUUGCUUGUGUUAUUCAUAUUUAUCAUUUGCGUGUACACAACUAGAUGCUAAAAGUUUCAUAGCUCAGUUAGGGACAAGCUUUUUCAGGAUACUUUUUAUUAUCUUCUUGUGUUCAAUUCUGCAUGUUUACACUAUUCAAAUUAUAUAAUUUAUACAAUCUAGUAUUUUAUUAAUUUGCUUUUUAAUAGUGCAUUUAAUAACCUGUAAAUAACUAAUGUAAAGUGUAACAUUCUACUGUUCAAGUCUACACGUUUACAUAUGUCAAAAACACAGAAGUAUUCAUAGACAUAUGUGUGCAUAUAUGAAUAAGCAUAUGUAUGUAGAUAUGUGUGCGUGCAUAUAAAGAGUUCUGUGAAUAAGUAUUUGCCCCCUUCCUGAUUUUGUUUCAGUUUCAUUGACCACACUGCUAGACCUGCUGAAUCAAGAAAUCGCUUAAACAGAAUCUGUCUGACACAGUGAAUUAAACUAAAAGAUGUCUGCAUGCAACAAGUCAUGACAUCAUAUAAAGAAACUCAGAAAGAACAGAGGAAUAAAGUCAGUGACAUUUAUCAGUCUGGAAAGGGUUACAAAGCCAUACAAAGGCUUUGGACCCCAUAAAACCAUGAUGAGAGUCGUUAUCCACAAAUGGAGAAAACUUGGGACAGUAGUGAAGCUCCACGUGCGUAUGCUGGUCACUUCCCAGGAGUUACCAGUAUACCAAAAUUACUCCAAGAGUAAUUUAAGACUCAUCCAGGAGCUCACAGAGCCAGAACAACAUCUAAUAAACUUCAGGCCACACUGAGAAGGAGACUGAGCAAAAAAUAGUUUCACAUUUGCCAAAAAAAAACCCUCCAAAACAUCUUGAUGAUCCCCAUGACUUUUGGGAAAAUAUUUUGUAGAUUGAUGAGACAAAGGUUGAACUUUUGUCUCAUCAUGGCCUUCCAAUUGGGGUCUGGGAUGCGGGGCGUCCCUGCUACUGCGAGGCCGGGGGCAGUCUGCUUGUCUUCAGCCCAGGGAAAAGGGUGGCAUCUCCUGGGUCUGGUUUCUCCUCAGGUCCAGGUGGUGCCUGGACCUGGGAGUUAGAGUAUGUCCGCGGGCACAUCACUGCAGCCCCCUCUGGCUUCUGCUCCGUGGCUGCUGGGUGACCCGUCGUCUGGGGCCCUCCUCAGCUCCGCCCAGGAGGGUGGCCCAGUUGCCCCUCCGAUGGUCCUUCUUGGGCUCUCACACUCUGGGGCCUCUGGAUGUCUGGGGCCUGGAUCUCCUCCAUGCCUGUGCCCUGGGGAACGGGGCUAUGGCUCCCCACAUUCUCUAGCAGAUUGUUACAUGGAGAAACCUUUUGAAUACAAGCGUGCUCAUGCUCACAGGUGUACACACGGGUGUUCACAGACACAAACUACACCUUUCUUGGCUGCAAAGGACAUUGUGCGCUAUCGAUCUUGCGUGCUGCGCAAUAACAUUCAAUAUUUAGUAUCUACUGUUAUUUACUGUUAGCUAGAUUAUUGCGAUUGUGUUGUGUUUAUUAUGUUGCUCUCUUUUUUGCUUCUUUUCUCUUCUGUUUUUUCUUCUCUCAACGGGUGAUCCAGGUGAUUUUUUAAGUGCCUUUUCUUACUGUCCCUCUUCCCCUCUGUUUUUCUUUCUUACUUUCUUUCUUUCUUUCUUUCUUUCUUUCUUUCUUUCUUUCUAUCUCCCUUUCCUAUCCCCCAGUCAUGUCUGUCCGAUCUGUAACAAUUGAAAAUAAAAUAAAAUAAAUAAAUAACAAUAAUAAAGGUCAAUCAAAUGGACCAAUACGGCAAGGCCAUGAUGAUCCACUUGGUAAAGUAAAUCCGUUGGGCAUCUUUCUUGGCCUUCAGACAAUAAUUCUGAUGGCUAAAGAACCAAAUGGGAUAGGCAACAAAAAAAAAGUUGCAUUUUUUGGAAGGCUUGAGUCCUGUUACGUCUGGUAACUAACACAGCAUUUCAUGAACAGAGCAUCAUGGCAAUAGUCAAAUAUAGUAGUAGUGGUAGGCUGCUUUUCUGCUUCAGGACCUGAAUGACUUGCUGUAAUUGAUGGAACCAUGAACUCUGCCUACUAGAAACUGCUGAAGGAAAAUGUCCUGGGUUUGGGUUUUGAAGGAUAAUGAGCCAAAACACACAGAGUCCACCUCUAAAUAGCUCAAAAAACAAAAUGUAGGUUUUGGAGUGAUCUAGUCAAAUUUAGGGGUUAUAUCUGACUGAGAUGCUCUGGCAUGACCUUAAACUGAACAUUCAUUCUGGAAAAUCCUCUAGUGUGAAGAAAAAAAAUCAGUGAUUUGAGCACAUUACGUUUAGGGUCGAUUGCUUUUUUUCCACAUGUUCAACUGUAAUUUCGUCAUGCUUGCAUAAUGACAAUAUAGAGUAUUUAAUCUUGACUCCCAAUACUAUUCCGGGACCACGAGGGGGCGCCGUGUCCUAUUUAUUUAAUUUGUCCUAUCAACAAUCAUCCCAUUGCCUACAACCAUUAAAAAACGUAUAUAUGGAUCAUGACAAUAUAUUUCUGUUUUGUAAUUUAAAAAAAAAAAAACUAUGGCGAGACAUUGCUUCUGUACAAUAUUAAACUAUUAAAAAUACACACGCAUAUAUUGAAU